UGAAAGAAAAAGAAGUUGAACUUCAAA
RNAcentral lists this non-coding RNA (27 nucleotides) under Rattus norvegicus (Norway rat). Lineage: Eukaryota; Metazoa; Chordata; Mammalia; Rodentia; Muridae. The record is from RNAcentral.